This 11926-nucleotide long non-coding RNA is filed under the name Vitis vinifera (wine grape). RNAcentral describes it as "long non-coding RNA (VVIN_LNC006755)". Lineage: Eukaryota; Viridiplantae; Streptophyta; Magnoliopsida; Vitales; Vitaceae. The record is from RNAcentral.
UUGAUAAAUGGAUUUAUACAUAUUCAACAUUACAACUGAUAUAUACCAGCUAGCUGUAAGUUUAAAAUGCAUGGUUCACAAAAUCUAAUCAACUCCACCGUUAGAAUUGAGUGCAUAUCCUCACACAGUGAAUCCACAAGAGUUAAUCAUCAAGGCAUACUUACCUAGUAAGAUAAAAGGGCAGUCUCAACAUGCUUACAAUAAGCUAUAAACCGGAGUAGCAUCAGCAGAAGAACAAGAAGAUGUGCACUCGACCGAAGAUUUUGUGGCGCUUUGAGAAGGACAACACAGAGGUCAUGCGUAAAAUACUGAAAAACUUGUUUUUCCCUUGCAAGUCCAUUAUGAGAGAUGUUCCCAAUGUUCAGAAAUCAUGGUAUAUGGUUUGUUACAGAAACCUCUGAAAUUUUGGACUCAAAUUAAAGAAGAAAUUGUAAAAAGAGAAGGCAGAUCCAUGUAUAUAUAAAAACAUUGAAUUGAUGUUUGAGUAUCGUACUCAAGGACUGCUGAAUACUAAAUGCUUCUUAUCAUUUUCUCCUAAUCUGGUACAUAGAAAUAAAUUGGGAGAAUUACCCAAAAGGUGAGUUAGAAAAAAUAGCUCAUACAUGAUGAUAAGUAUAGGUUGAUAAAUGAUGUGGCCCUCAUACAUGAUGAUAAGUACAGGUUGAUAGGCAAUCAAAAUAACUCAUACAUGAUGAUAAGUACAGGUUGAUAAAUGAUGUGGGCCUCAUACAUGAUGAUAAGUACAGGUUGAUAGGCAAUCAAUGGUAUAUUUUUCAGCUUGAAAAAAUUAUUGUCACUUUUGAACAAUUGACUGUUUAAAAAUUUGCUAUUUUUUUUUCAAAAAAAUUGAGAUUUUUUAAAGAACCUUACAAAAAAAAUAAUUUUUAAUAUCUCAUAAAUAAAAACUAUAUCUUGAAGUUAUUAUAUCGUUUUAUAUAUAAAACAUACAAUUAAAAACUUUGUUAUCAUAAUAUAAUGAAUAAUUAUUUUUUACGAGCACUCAUCAAUUGAAUAAUAUAUAAAUAUUCAAUUGACUAACACACACCUAUUAAAUGAAAUAACUCACAAUUAUUCAUUGAGUAAUAUAGCACGUGAAAAAAUUAAAUAAAAAUAAAUUAAAUUAUGUUGUAAUAUAUUGUAAUGAUAGUGUAUUUAUAUUAUAAGUAUAAUACAUUUAUGUUGUACCUAUGUUUUAUUAUAAAAGUAAUAAUUCUAAAAAAAUUUAUUCAUACCCUGUUGGUAUUAACACAUCAUAUUAAUAUAUUAACAACAUUUAUUUAGUGUUUUGAAAUUAUUUAAUAAUUUUUGUAUAUAUAUAUAAACUACGUGAAUUCAAAUUAGUAUUUCAUUUUAUUUCAGAAAUUAUUUAUGAUAUAGGUAUGUUGUAAAAUAUGGUAUGAUCAUACAAAAUUACCAUUUUUAUAAAAAAUUUCAUAAAUUUCUUAAUUAAGUUUUAUUGUAAUGUAUUGUAAUGUAAGUGUAUUUAUAAUAUUGUAAUUAUAACAUAUUUUUGUUGUGUCUAUAUUUUAUAAUAAAAGUAAUAAUAUUGAGGAUCACCUUUUAUACCUUAUUAAUAUUCAACAUAUCAAAUAGAUUAACAUCAUCCACUCGAUGCAUUAAGAAAAAAAAAUUAUAUGAAAAUUAAAAAAAAAAAAUUAUAUAAAUUUUUUAAAAUUAUUUUAUUAUAAAAAUAAAAAAUGAUUAAACAUUCUCUAUCAUUUUCUUAUUCUUUUUAGAGAAUCUAAAUGAAAAAUUAAACAUUUUAUCUUUCUUAAAUUUAAUACAAAAACAUAAUUUAUCAAUUUAAAAUUAUAUAUAUAUAUAUAUAUAUGUGUGUGUGUGUGUGUGUGUGUGUGUGAAAAUCAUCAUUUUUAUUAUAUAAUUAUAAAACUUAUUUUUUUCUUCAUAAAAUUAAAAAUUAGAAUAAAAAUAAAAAAGGUAAAAAAACAAUAAAUGAUAUUUUGAAAAUAUUUUUUAAAAGUGUUUUUGUUUUAAAUAGUAAAUUUAAAUAACAAAUUAUAUAUAAUUGUAAGGGUUAAACCCAAAAUUUUGAUUUAAAAUUUAAAUAUCAAUAAUUACAAUAAAUGUAUUGACAAAUCAAGUGAAGUGCUUUAAAUGCUUUGAAUUUUAAAAGUUUUAGUUAAAGUGUAGUUUUGGUAUAUUAAGCCUAUUAAAGUACUCCCCAAGAAUUAUUAAAAGAUGUCACCCUUUCUAAUAAUUGUUCUACCUAACCCACCCUUUUGGGUAAUUCUCCCAAAUAAAUUUGGGUAGGAGGACAAUUUAAAUAUCAAUAAUUACAAUAAAUGUAUUGACAAAUCAAGUGAAGUGCUUUAAAUGCUUUGAAUUUUAAAAGUUUUAGUUAAAGUGCAGUUUUGGUAUAUUAAACCUAUUAAAGUCCUCCCCAAGAAUUAUUAAAAGAUGUCACCCUUUCUAAUAAUUGUUCUACCUAGCCCACCCUUUUGGGUAAUUCUCCCAAAUAAAUUUGGGUAGGAGGACCACUGACAUUUUUUUAUCAAUGGAGUAAUUCUGGUAUAAUUUCAUUCUGACAACUUAUGAGGUUAGUAAUUCAAAACAUGUUAAGUAUUAGUUUGAUAUGCAUUAUUGAAUUAUUUCCCAGUAUUUAAUCUUUUGAGACAAGUUAUCAUAGUUUGGUUCCUAGCUAAGACCUCUUUGUCUGGCUAUAAUUAACUUAUUUGUUGAUGUCAUUAGUUUCAUACACUAUUUUGUUAUGAGACUUCUCUAUAAUUAUCACUUCAUUAAACUAAAAAUACCAAGAGGUUGGUCAAUUAAUUUCCAGCAUGCAUAUAAAGGAAAGGAAAAGGAAAUGAUGGGAAAAAAAAUGAAAAUAGAAGAAGUGAUUUAGGAGGAAUGAUUGCCUUGUUUUAGACUAGCUACCAUUGCAUACAUGGGAUACCUCAUCACAAUUUGUGCAAUGCUUGAAAUGAGCUAGAGCAGAAAAUAGAAUGUAAACAAAUACAGUUGAAUAGUCCAGCUUCAUUUGUCCAUAGCUUGCCUCUAACCCCAAACAUUUAUAUAUGCUUGCAAAGUUUUUGGUCGAAAAUUUUCAUAAAUUCAUUGAAUCAUUGUACAUGUUUUAUACAAUCAAUUGUACAACAAAAUAAAUUGAAAUGAACCAAAGCCAAUUCUCCAAAAAGGAGAUAUAGUAUUGACAUAUUCUACAAGGAAAUUAUAUGAAUAGUGUAUAACUAGGAUUAUGGUCAGAAGGUUCAACAAAAGAUUGUUGAUGAGAUUCUUCUUUCCUAGUAUGCCCUCAUGAGAUGGCGGAUCCAUUAGAUACAUCAAUCUUGAACCAUAAAGAUGAAAAAUGUUGCUUAGCUAACGACUUUGUAAAGACAUCAACUGGUUGAUUGUGUGAGAAAACAUAAGAAAUAGUUAGCAUAUCAUGACAACAAUUUUGUCCCUAACAAAAUGAUAGUUAAAGGAAACAUGUUUCAUUUGGAAAUAGAAGAUUGAGAAUCAAUCCAUGUUAAUUUGGCAGCAAUGGAAGCAUUGGCCCAAUACUCAAUUUCCAUGGAAGACCGAGCCACUGUUCUUUGCUUUUUAGAACACCUAGAAAUUGUAGCACCAAGACAACUAACACAAGCCGAUAUUGAUGUAAAGUCAUCCCGAUUUCCUACCCAAGCAACAUUGGAGUAGACAAUAAUAGUGAGAGGAUGAUAACAGCAGAGCGCAAGACCAUAAUGAAUGUGUGCUAGAGAUAUCGAAGAAGUCUUUUGGCAAUUGUUUAAUGGGAAUGUGUGGGAGAAUGCAUGUAUUGAGCGACUUAUUGACAAAAUAAGUCACAUCCAAACACAUCAAUGAUAAAUAUUCCAUGGCACUUACAAUGCUUUAAUAGAAAGUAACAUCAACAAAAGGCUUACUUUUGUGAUAACUUUUGUGAUGAUGGAACAACCUCCAUGCCUAAGAAGAAGUGAUCGCUAAGGUCAUUGUUAGAGAAUUUAAAGGCAAGAGUCUGAAUGAAUUCUCAAAUAACAGUAUCAGAGUUUCCCGUGACAAUCAAAUCAUUUACAUGUACAAAAAAGUAUAUUGUAAUGCCACUGAAAUUAUGUAGAAACAAUAAGGUAUUAAUUUACAAUUGGUGAAACCAAAGGAAACGACGAAAUCUUUGAACUCAUUGUACCAUGCUUGUGGAGCUUAGUUGAGGCCAUAAAAGGGUUUUAUGUAGCGUGGCAUAUAUUAGUAGGCCUGGUGUCAUCAAUGAAGUUUGAGUGGUUGUGACAAGUUGGUGAAUGAAUAGAUAGUUCAAAAAGGCAUUGCUAACAUCUAUUGAUGAAUUUGUAACCACCAAUUGAGAGCAACAGUUAGAAGUAGGUGAAUGGUUGUAGGUUUAACCACCAGGUUGAAUGUGUCAUGGUUGUUUGUGCCUACAGACCCACUUGCAUCCCUGUGAUGUUUUGUCAAAGAUGGAACUAAUUCUCAUGUACGAUUUGUAAUGAUGGCAUUGAUUUCAUUAGUUGUGGCUUCUCUCCACUUAAAGUUUGACUAGUACAGGGAGAUUCAAAGAUUGUGUAGGCAACGGGUGUUUAGUAGCAUGAUACAAGUGCUUAGGUUAAAAUUUUGGUUUUAUAAACGAGUGAUCAUUUGGUGGGUAUGGGUAGGUUAAAGAUAGGGAAGGCAACGGGACGGGUUUUUUCGGGUACCCGUCCCUAAUGGGAUGUGAUUUAAAUUUAAUAAACGGGUUUGGGAUGAGUAUGAGAUUUUUUUUAAACCUGAGGCGGGUUCAGGUAUUGUCCCAUCCCGUCCUGUCCCGUCUCGUUUACAUAUAAAAUUAAAUUUAAUUUAAAUUUUAAAAUUAAUUUAAUUUAAAAUUUUAUUUUACUAUUUUUAAUAUAUAGAUAAUAAUAAAAAAAUUUUAAUAAAAUAAGUUAUAAAAAAUAUAAUAAUUUUAUUAUUUAUAAAAUAUAUUUAUUUUAAUAUAAUUAAAAAAUUUAAAAGUAAAUUUUUUUAAAAAAAAUUAAAUUAAAAAAAGCUAAACGAGGUGGGGCGGGCUAUUUGAACUUGGGUCAUAUCAUGCAUAAGAACUCUAGUUUAGUGGCUACAGCUUGAAUCAAAGCUACAAACACUAAGUUCAAAACUUCAAAGUUAUGACUUCUCCUUCUCAAGACAAAAGCUGUACUCUUUCCCUCUCAAGCAUUAUGUUAGAAGUUCAGAAAUAGAUGAAUAAGUCCCCAAAACCCCAGCCAAAAUUCCAAAUACAAUUAUCCCAACAAUGCCCAUCUGCUCACAGUUCCAAUUCCAAUUGAGAUCAGAAAUCUUCAAGUAGCACAAGCAUGGGAGCAGAAAAGAAGCCGAAGCAACAAAAACUGACCCAACAAUGGCCAUCAAGGACUCGUAAUAUGGGAAGACAUAGGCCACAAUAACAGUACUGAUCAGCAAUGCUACUCUUAUGAGCAAUCUCACCGGUUUCUGAUUCUUGUACUUUUCUGAUAGUCCACCUUCAAUGGCAGUUGCAAUUGGGGCUACCAACAAGGAAUAUCUAGUAACUGGAAUAAGUAAAGUUGUUUAUAUUGCAACUCUUCCACUAACUUUACUCGUUGGUAAUUUCUGAUUCAACACCAUCUCCAUACAUAAGAUAGCCCAAUAUCGCUAUUGUCAUGUAGUUGAGAGUUGCCAGAACAAAACUAAACAUCAAGACAGAUCAAUAAACACAAAAGACCAACAGUUUUAGAUGUCUAUUCUUAAGACCUUGCUGUAUAAGUUGACUGUAAACCAAGAAAAAGCAGGCAGCAACUGCCUCUAUGUAUCAGUUUCAGGCUUUCGACAAUGUCAAUUGCAAAUAAUAUUUUUAAGCAGUUUAUAUAACUGUUUCUAUGGAGAUUACUACACAGACUAAAUAAGAAAAUCGAUCACAUGACGAUCUCUAGGCAACCACGGAGAAAUAGUUUUUUCAUAAGGUGUAAGUAAAAUGAAUGAUGUUAAAGUUUCAGCCUUACUGAACUGGCAGGAAUCUCACAUAGACAUGUAUAUUGAAGGGAUGACUGGGUGUCCACCAAAUGAAACAAUAUAUAAGCCAACUGCUGUAGGAAGAGUAUCGAGAUUUAACAGAACACUUCCUUUUGCAUGAAAACCAACACCGUCGAAUGCACCAACACAAAAGAUGGAGACGACAAUGACAAGGCAAGAGAAUACUCCAGUGGCCGAGAUAUAGGAGAGCAUACUCAAGUCAGUUAACAACAUUGAUGGUGAAAGUAAUAGUCCUGUGAUUAUAACGAAUGACUGUUUUCCAUCUAGUGUCAAUGCCCCAAGUUUAAUCAUGAACUCUGGAAAAAGCUUUUGUAAGUUGUCACAUUCUAAUAUCAAAAACCCUGUUGCAAUAAGGUACAUCUCUGCAUUCAUCAUAAACAUGACUAUCAUUCUUCCUUUCAUACCAAAUGCACGCUCUGCAAUAUCAUAAUAACUUCAAAUAGAUUGAUCAACUUCCAUACAACGCACUAUUAAAAGCCCGGUGUAAAAGGUCAUAGCUGCAAUUGAGAAGAAGAGCACCAAACUCAACCAACCUCCACUUGAGAGGGCAUAAGGGAUUGUUAGAAAACCAAUUCCUGUGAAUGUCAAAACAAGCAACAAAAACCCUUAUCUAUUACUCAUGAAGGAAUAGAAGAAACAGGAAAAAAUGGAGAAAGAAGUGACCAUGUCCCUAAGCUUACGCAGGAAUGAGUUUGUGCCAUUAAAACUAGCUUUCAUGAAACUUGAUGAGCCAGGAGUUCGAAUCAGAGGGAUCCUUAGCUCGUUAAUCCCCAUUGUCUUCUUUUGAUUUAAUAUUGCAUUUAAUCAACAGAUUCCCAUCUCCACUUCUAUGAACUGUCUCUGCAUGGAUAACUAAAUAUAUGGAUGCAUGGACAAGAAAUUAGGACAGAAGUGGAAAAUAUGAAUGAAUGGUCAGAAGCAACGGGAUUGUCUUUACUUCUUACCUUGAAAGAAGCCGGAUAGACAUUUAUCUUUUCUCUAAAUUGCUAUGAAAAUUGACCUGGUGCUGCACCUGGUGAACAUUUCGAUUAUCUGCACCUCAUUUUCCCACAAGCUUUCCCGAACUAAACAUAGCUUAAGACAAACAUACAACCAUUUUCCUCAGCACUCCUUUAUUUCCUUGAGCACUUGUUGACUUAAGUCAAUGGGAUCCUCAGCACAUUCUUUGCUACUAUUCCAUAGUUGAUUUAGUAGCACACUUAACUGUAUCGUUUGUAUCUUCAUGUCUAACUACACCGUUUGUAUCCUCGUGUCUACUUGAUGGAUACCAUACACAUGCAUGGACAAGAGAGAGAGACAUAAGCAGAAAAUACAAAUGAAUGGGAAGCCCAGGAAGUUGUUGUAUGUACCAUAUAAAAGGAAAAACAGAAGGAAGGAGAUGUGGUUGGGUAAAUUCUAUAUUUGAAUUAGUAGCACACUUAACUAUAUAGUUUGUAUCUUCGUGUCUACUUGAUGGAUACUUAAUUUACACAUGCAUGUACAAGAGAGAGAGAUAAGCGGAAAAUACAAAUGAGUGGGAAGCACAAGAAGUGUCAAAUGCACCGUAUAAUGGAAAAGAAAUAUAUAAAAAGAGAGGGGAGUGGGUGGAGCUGGGGCUGGGGGAUUUGCUUGAUUUCUUACGUAUGAAGAAACUGGCAUCUUUCCCUAGAUUGCUGUGAGAUCAGAUAUUACUUACCUGCAAAGCAUGUGAAUCCAAAAGAUUUUGAGGAAAAAUGACAGUGGGGUUCUUCUAAAGUGACUUUUCACAUUAUUUGGAGUUCAAUAUAGAGAAUGGAGACACACCGAGAUUCAACAUCAUAAAUAUACGUACCUGUACCUAGCUUUUGACAGUGGAAUACAAGAAUCAAAAUACAUGGCUGAUGAGAACCUAAGGAGCUGUAGAGUCUGUAACUUGGGUGGCAGUCCAGUAGCUAGUCUUACAAAUUGAAGCAAAAGACUACUGAAGCUUAUUACCUAUAAUGAUGAGAAGACAGCCUCUACAUCAUUGUAAGUAUUGAAGCAUCAGCAGCAGAAGAAGAUCAAAGAAGAUCGAUAUACACUUAUACUGAAGCUUUCGAGGCAUGGAAAAACAAAAAUAACAUAAAAAAACAAUUAAAUCUAGCUUAUCAUCUACCUUUCAACCUUUUCAACUGCUUUCCAAAUGUCAUCUACGAUUCUUAAUCACUUGAAGUAGUGAAUCAUAGACAAACAAUGGGUAGAUGAUUCUUACAAAAAUCAAUUUUGUAAGAAGCUACCGAGACAUUAUCAUAUUGAUGAUAAGCUGCUUCCAUACAUGGUUUUUGUAGAACUUCCCAUGGAAAAGCUCAUGCAAUAACUAAUUCCCGUGAAAUUAAAACAUGUGAAAUAAUUGUGUUUAUAAACUGAUCAAAGAAAUGAGGAAGAAUGGAAAGAGUAGAGGAAGCAAUUUUUCUGAGUUUAGCAUAGCAUACCUGCAAAGUUUGUUGAAAUCCAAGGGAUUUAGAGGAAAAAUUAAGGUAGGAUUAUCCUCUCUAUAAACAAUGGCCUUUUGAUGAAAUGGUUGCUCUAUUUUCUUUGAUUACAAAGUGUAUAAAAUAUAUACAUGUGAGGGAGGUCAUGAAGCAAAAAAAUUAAGCCACACUGCUUCGAGCCAAUAGCAAAAAAUAUGAAGAAGUGGGCAUGAUCCAGAAAUUGUGGAAAGUCCUUAAUUGAUUAUGAACAUGUGAUGGAAUCGAUGGUUGAUUCCUCAAUUUUUUUUCAUUAUAUUAAGGCCAUCUUUUACUAGUACUUUUCAACAUGCAUGUUGGUCAUUAGAAGUGGCUUUUUAAAUAUAAAAGAGACACCUUCUUUUAUAUUCAUUAUUAAUCUUAUCAUCAUUUAAAAUGCAUGGUUCAUCUGGAUAUUAAGUUCUUGGGACACAUAUUACCAAGCUAUCUUAUCAUCUCCCUCAACAUUUUCAGCUGCCUUGCAUGCUAUCUGCCAUUCUUAAUUUCCAGUCUAGCUAAUGGUGCGUGAGUUCCUUUCUGAUUCCAUUAAGAGGGGUAGUUCAAGGUCAAGCCAAAAAUGAGAAUAUCAUCUGUCAGAGAAUUAAAAAAAAAAAAAAAAGAAAAAAAAAAAAGAAGAAUAUUGGUAUAAAGAGCAGUGUGAGGAAGGGCAGAUGGAAAUAUAGGACUUGUCAUCUACAAUCUUUUGGGUCAACUGAUUGUUAACCUAUCAAAUUUUUUGUUCUAUUUUCUGUAUGGGGUUUAUUCCUUUUAUUUGUUGAUCUCACUUGCAAGAGGACCAUGUCAAAAUUGAGGUGGUAUAUGGAGCUGCAUAAGACCAUUCUAGGCUAUACGCUCAGCACUCUUGUUUUUUUAAGCCUCCGUUUGAGAAAUAUUUUCGAAAUAAUUCCAAAAAAUAGUUUUUGAGUAGGGUUUUUAAAUAUCAUUCUUCCAUUUUUUGUACAAUUGAAAAUGAAUAAAAAAAACUAAAAGAUUUUCUCUAAAAAUAUUAUAUUUUUUGUUUUUAAGAGUAGAAAAAAAUGUUUUCUGUUUGACAAACGUGUUUUCUGAUUAUUUUUUUUUUAAAUAAAAAAUUGUUUUCGAAAUAAGUUUACUAGAACUCCAUUUUGCAGCAUGAAUAGGGGAUGAUAAAGGAGAUAUGAUGAAAGGACAAUAUGCAUAUAUCAAGUACUCUAGUUUGCGAAUUAGAGUGUCUUCAAGCACUGAUCAAGCAUUAUCUUACAAGUUCAGAAAUAGAUGAAUAAGUCCCUAAAACCCCAGCAAAUGUUCCAAAUAGAAUUAUCCCCCUAAUGCCUAUCUGCUCACAGUUCCAACCCCAAUUGAGAUCAGAAAUCUUCAAGUAACACAAGCAUGGGAGCAGAAAAGAACCCGAAACGACAAAAAUUGAUCCAACAAUUGCCAUCAGGGACUCGUAAUAGGGAAAAUAAUAUGCCACAAUAGCUGUGCUAAACAGCAAUGCUACUCUUAUAAAUAAUCUAACAGCUCUCUUAUUCUUGUAAUUUUCUGAAAUCCCGCCUUCAAUGGCAGUUGCAAUUGGGGUUAAUACCAAUGCAUAUCUGGCGAUUGGAAUAACUAAAGUCGUAUAAAUUGCGAUUCUUGCACUAACUUUACUUGUUGGUAGAUUCAAAGUUAUUUCUGAUUCAACCCUGUCUCCAUACAUUAGAUAUCCUACUAUGGCCAUUGACAUGUAGGUGAGUGUUGCAAGAACAAAACUGAAUAGUAAGACCUGCAAAUCCAUGAAUGAAACAGCAAAGAAGUAGUUAGUUUUAGAAGCCGGUUUUGAAAAAUGAACACACUAAGACCUUCCAAUCAAAGUUGAUUAUUUGUUAUGAUGGAGAUCAAUCCAUGGAGUAUUUAUUAAGAAAAUUGCAGAUAGUCUCUGGCCAACAAGAGAGAAAGUAAUGUGAAUAAUGUUGUAAUUUUCUACCUUACUGAACUGGUAGCGGUCUCGCAUUGAUACAUAUAUUGGAGGGAUGACUGGAUGUCCACCAAAGGAAACAAUAUACAAGCUAACUGUAAUAGGUAGGCGGUCCACAUUUAACAGUAUCGAUCCCUUCGCAUGAAAGCCAACACCAUUGAAUGCACCGACACAAAAAAUGGAGACAAGGAUGACAAGGCAUGAAAAAAAUCCAGUGGCAGAGAUAUAGGAGAGAAUGCUCAAGUCGGUUAAAAAUAUUGUUGGCAAGAUUAUUAGGAAUGUGAUUAUAGCAAAUGACUGUCUUCCAUCUACUGUUAAUUCCCCAAGGUUGAUCAUGAAUUCUGGAAAUAGCUUACGCAAGUUGUCAACCUCCAGUAUCAAAAGCCCGACAGCAACAAGAUACAUUUCCAAAUUCAUAAUGAUCAUGACUGUGAUUCUUCCUUUUGUACCAAAUGCAUGCCCUGCAAUAUCAAGGUAGCUAGUAAUAGAUGGAUGAUCAGCGGCUUCCAUGCAUCGUUUUAGUAAAAUUCCAGUGUAAAAGGUCAUAAUUGCAACUAAGGAAAACGGCAUCAAACUCAACCAACCUCCAGUUGAGAGGGCAUAAGGGACUGUUAGAUAACUAAUUCCUGUGAAAUGAAAAUGUGCAAACAAUUAUGUGUCCAUAAACCAAAAGAAAGAAUAGAGAUAGCAAUUUUUUUUCUGAGUUUACCAAGGAAUGCAUUUAUGCCAUUGAAGCAAGCAUUAAUGAAACUUGAUGAUCCAGUGGUUCGUGCCAGUGGGAUCCUUAGCUCAUUGUUUGCCAUUGUUUUCUAUUCAGUUUAGUAUCUGUAUCUUCACUUCUUAUGAACUCUCCAUAAAUAACUUCUCUCAUGCAAGUAAAAGAGGGAGAUAAGGGGAAAAUAUAAAUGAAUACACAGCACAAGAAGCUGCUAUACGGACCAUCAGAAAAGAAGAGGAAAAAAAAAACCAGAUUGGCUUAACUUCUUACCUUGAAGGAAGGAGCAUUAGUAAACAUCUUUGUCUAAUUUUCUAUGAAAAUCAACCAGCUGUUGCUGUACCUCUUGAAGAUGGGAUUACCUGCAAAGCAUGUUGAAAUGCAAAAGAUUUUGAGGACAAAUUAAAGUGGGUUUCUCCUAAAACCUAUCAUUGAUAAAUGGAUUUAGACAUAUUCAACAUUAUAACUGAUAUAUACCAGCUAGAUGUAAGUUUAAAAUGCAUGGUUCACAAAAUCUAAUCAACUCCACUGUUAGAAUUGAGUGAAUAUCCUCACACAGUGAAUCCACAAGAGUUAAUCAUCAAGGCAUACUUACCUAGUAAGAUAAAAGGGCAGUCUCAACAUGCUUACAAUAAGCUAUAAACCCGAGUAGCGUCAGCAGAAGAAGAAGAAGAUGUGCACUCGACCGAAGAUUUUUGUGGCGCUUUGAGAAGGACAACGCAGAGGUCAUGAGUAAAAUACUGAAAAACUUGUUUUUCCCUUGCAAGUCCAUUAUGAGAGAUGUUCCCAUUGUUCAGAAAUCAUGGUAUAUGGUUUGUUACAGAAACCUCUGAAAUUUUGGACUCA